RNAcentral lists this transfer RNA (71 nucleotides) under Marmota monax (woodchuck). RNAcentral's name for it is "tRNA.Ala". The record is from RNAcentral. Lineage: Eukaryota; Metazoa; Chordata; Mammalia; Rodentia; Sciuridae.
GGGGUUCUGGCUCAGUGGUAGAGGGCUUACCUAGCAAGUAUGAGACACUGUGUUCAAUCCUCAGCACCACA